GAUGAACGCUGGCGGCGUGCCUAAUACAUGCAAGUCGAGCGAACGGACGAGAAGCUUGCUUCUCUGAUGUUAGCGGCGGACGGGUGAGUAACACGUGGAUAACCUACCUAUAAGACUGGGAUAACUUCGGGAAACCGGAGCUAAUACCGGAUAAUAUUUUGAACCGCAUGGUUCAAAAGUGAAAGACGGUCUUGCUGUCACUUAUAGAUGGAUCCGCGCUGCAUUAGCUAGUUGGUAAGGUAACGGCUUACCAAGGCAACGAUGCAUAGCCGACCUGAGAGGGUGAUCGGCCACACUGGAACCGAGACACGGUCCAGACUCCUACGGGAGGCAGCAGUAGGGAAUCUUCCGCAAUGGGCGAAAGCCUGACGGAGCAACGCCGCGUGAGUGAUAAAGGUCUUCGGAUCGUAAAACUCUGUUAUUAGGGAAGAACAUAUGUGUAUGUAACUGUGCACAUCUUGACGGUACCUAAUCAGAAAGCCACGGCUAACUACGUG
This 497-nucleotide ribosomal RNA is filed under the name uncultured bacterium. Its description in RNAcentral is "partial 16S ribosomal RNA". It matches the Rfam family "Bacterial small subunit ribosomal RNA", at positions 28 to 507 of the family's 1533-position model. The record is from RNAcentral.